Molecule: ribosomal RNA, 253 nt
Filed under: uncultured bacterium
Lineage: Bacteria
Also listed under: 1 other name
Description: partial 16S ribosomal RNA
Rfam family: Bacterial small subunit ribosomal RNA
Source: RNAcentral
UACGUAGGGUGCGAGCGUUAAUCGGAAUUACUGGGCGUAAAGCGUGCGCAGGCGGUUUAGUAAGACAGGCGUGAAAUCCCCGGGCUCAACCUGGGAACUGCGCUUGUGACUGCUAAGCUAGAGUACGGCAGAGGGGGGUGGAAUUCCACGUGUAGCAGUGAAAUGCGUAGAGAUGUGGAGGAACACCAAUGGCGAAGGCAGCCCCCUGGGUCGAUACUGACGCUCAUGCACGAAAGCGUGGGUAGCAAACAGG